CUCUCCUGCGCAAGCGCUCUUCAACAUCACUCCUUGCUACCUCGCCCCCCACCUCCUCCAGGUUUUUAAUCCUGGGUGGGCCUGAGAAGCUUUUAACUACAUCAGAAAUGGAAGCUUUAACUUAAAUUGACCCAGACUUUUGGCACCUAAAAAUGGGACUAUUCUAAUACCUUGAAAGUGACAGAAGCGCCAAGCAACGCUCAACACACUGCGUGGAUGGAGAAGGGAGAAUUGACAAGAAUGCAUAAUUGGCAUAGAUAUCUUCAUCAACUGGCAGAAUUCCCACACUGCUUCCCUGACCUGUGGAAUAAGAGCCAUUAUGGGAGAAAAGGCUAAGUGGAAACCACUAUAACUGUGUACUUAUGGUGACCUAUGAAAAUAGGAAAUCAGAAGCAAUACUGCAUUCUUACAGGGAUUGCAGAUUAGUGCCACCAUCAAGGACUUGGAAGAAGAUAAAGAGGUGGUGAUUCCUACCCCGUUCCCCCAUUCAUCUUUCCUUUUUUUUUUUGGC
This is a long non-coding RNA of Phacochoerus africanus (Common warthog), 511 nucleotides long. RefSeq lists it as uncharacterized. The transcript is spliced from 3 exons. The record is from RefSeq and is a predicted model, not a curated record. NCBI's taxonomy places the organism in Eukaryota, Metazoa, Chordata, Mammalia, Artiodactyla, Suidae.